This 294-nucleotide ribosomal RNA is filed under the name Triticum aestivum (bread wheat). Its description in RNAcentral is "partial small subunit ribosomal RNA". The record is from RNAcentral. Lineage: Eukaryota; Viridiplantae; Streptophyta; Magnoliopsida; Poales; Poaceae.
AUGGCGCUCUCCGACCUCUCCCACGACUCGCUCCUCCCCGGCUUCCUCUACUCCCUGCGCUCCUUCGCAGCCGCCUCAGCGCCCGCCGCGGCCCCGGCCGCCGGCCUUGUCGGCGCUGGCGGGGUCGGAGGCAGCAGGCCCUUCUCGGUCCACGGGCCCAACGAGAAGAUCAUCAUGUACUCGGCGGCCUUCUGCGCCACCUGCAGCAUCGGGGGGAUCGACAGCUGCGGGCUCACCCACAUGGCCAUCACCCCGCUCGACCUCGUCAAGUGCAACAUGCAGGUGAGGGCCUAG